This 944-nucleotide long non-coding RNA is filed under the name Phaseolus vulgaris (common bean). RNAcentral's name for it is "long non-coding RNA (PVUL_LNC004578)". Lineage: Eukaryota; Viridiplantae; Streptophyta; Magnoliopsida; Fabales; Fabaceae. The record is from RNAcentral.
AAUAACCAGUGCAAAAUAUACAUCCGUUUGUUAGUAUCUGACAAUCAUCCCUCCCUUAUUCCCCUUCUCGUAAAAAAAAAGUUAAAUUAAAGCAAUAAUAUGACACCUCCACAAACCCACUUACUUGCAAACCUAUUACUUGUCACAACGAAAUAUUAUUACAGCCAAAUUGAAACUGCUUUCAAAUUCGACAAGGUCAAUAUAUCACCGAAAGUGCGACCAAAACGCACAACAAUUAUUCGGCAAAAUUUGGAAAAAGAAAUUCCAAUAAAGAUGUCAAACAUCAACUGCAACGCAAAUAUCAAUUAAAAUGUAUAUUUAAAAUAAUUUUGAAAAAUUAUAACAAAUCUGCAUCUUGAUCAAAUAAAGCCAUACUUUGACUGCAACCAAAGGAAUAGAUUGAUAAAUUAAAAUCUUGAAAACGCUACCAGUGCGACACGAUGCAGAAGGAGUGGCAUAUAAGGUGGAUGUGUGAAACCGAAGAUUUUGACACAAACCCACUUACUUGCACAAACCCACUUACUUGCAAACCUAUUACUUGUCACAACGAAAUAUUAUUACAGCCAAAUUGAAACUGCUUUCAAAUUCGACAAGGUCAAUAUAUCACCGAAAGUGCGACCAAAACGCACAACAAUUAUUCGGCAAAAUUUGGAAAAAGAAAUUCCAAUAAAGAUGUCAAACAUCAACUGCAACGCAAAUAUCAAUUAAAAUGUAUAUUUAAAAUAAUUUUGAAAAAUUAUAACAAAUCUGCAUCUUGAUCAAAUAAAGCCAUACUUUGACUGCAACCAAAGGAAUAGAUUGAUAAAUUAAAAUCUUGAAAACGCUACCAGUGCGACACGAUGCAGAAGGAGUGGCAUAUAAGGUGGAUGUGUGAAACCGAAGAUUUUGAAUAUACCUGCUUCUAGAGAGAACAAGAGCACUCGAAACCCUAACGCCAGAGAGAG